Molecule: long non-coding RNA, 1368 nt
Filed under: Callithrix jacchus (white-tufted-ear marmoset)
Lineage: Eukaryota; Metazoa; Chordata; Mammalia; Primates; Cebidae
Description: lncRNA (ENSCJAG00000073397.1)
Source: RNAcentral
CUCAGUAAUCUAUAACCAAACCAUCUAGUGACUCAUACCAAUUUGAUAGUUGCCUUAAAAUAAAAAUUUAUAAAGUUUUGAUGUUCCCUAGGUAAGUUUCUAUAGUUGAAUAUUUGUUUGUUUGUAUGGUUUUUGAGAUGUAGUCUCCCUCUGUUGCCCAGGCUGGAAUGCAAUGGUGCAAUCUCUGCUCACUGCAACCUUCGCGUCCUGGGUUAAAGUAAUUCUCCUGCCUCAGCCUCCUGAGUAGCUGGGAUUAUAGGUACCCACCAGCAUGCCUGGCUAAUUUUUGUAUUUUUUAGUAGAGACAAGGUUUCUCCAUGUUGACCAGGUCGGUCUUGAACUCCUGACUUCAGGUGAUCCACCUGUCUCAGCCUCCCAAAGUGCUGGGAUUACAGGCAGGAGCCACUGCUACUGGCCUACAGUUGAGUUUUUAUCAUACAAAUAGAAUAUUACCUACCAGUGAUGUUAAAUUCUAAAACACAUCUUUGCUGACUCUUCAACACUGUGACUUCUCUUAGCUUCCAACUACCUGAGUAGACAGAAUUAAUUCAAGUUAAUUUUAAAUAAAAAGUAUAUUGAACAUGGGCAAUUUUUCUUCUAGAAAAAAAAGUUGAGCUUAUGAGAAUUUAGUCUUGGAAGGAAUUUACUGGUAUUGAUUCAUUAAUCCUUGUCAGAGGAGCCUAGGCUCACCUCUCCUUUGUAGCUAAUGGAAGAGAUGAACAGUACAGUGAAGGGCUAAGGAGAAUUAAGUGGCUUUGACAGGACAUAAGAAAAUCAAUCUUUCUGAAUUUAUAAUUUCUAAUUCCCAUAUUGUCUUAGUCUGUUUUGUGCUGCUAUAACAGAACAACACCGGGGAAUUUAUAAAGAACAGCUGUUUAUUUGGUUCACAGUUCUGAUGUUCGUGAUCCAGGGUCUCCAUCUGGUGAGGGCCUUCUUGCUGCAUCAUCCCACGGCAGAAAGCGGAAGGGAAACGUCUUUGACCUCUGUUACACAGCGGCUGACCCUGUGGCACAGGAAAGCCAGUGAAUUGAUCAGAGUCACUUUAAAAUUUUGCUUUUAGACAAGCUUUGCCCAAACACAUCCAUUCCUUCAAGAGAGGGCUACCUGGAGCGCUGAUAUUAAGAAAAGAUCAUUUCUCUACAUGGGCAGACGAAUGGGGAGAGCUGACCAAUUACCUCGAAAAUACAACCGAUGCCAGCAGGCAAUAAGAAUAAUUAAAACCAAUAAACUAUUUCCUCUCAACUGCCGAGUUUAGUGUAGGGUUUUCUUUUUCUGUCUUUUUGUUUUGCUUUCCAUUGGUUGUGCUUUCCAAAUAAUUGUUCCAUCUGUCCACUUCACUUUGCCUGAGUAAUCACAGCCAGAGGGCAC